Molecule: long non-coding RNA, 495 nt
Filed under: Mytilus galloprovincialis (Mediterranean mussel)
Lineage: Eukaryota; Metazoa; Mollusca; Bivalvia; Mytilida; Mytilidae
Source: RNAcentral
CCUUAUUCUGUUAGGACCAAAACUCCCAAAAUCAAUACCAACCUUCCUUUUAUGGUCAUAAACCUUGUGUUUAAAUUUCAUAGAUUUCUAUUUACUUAUACUAACGUUAUGGUGCGAAAACCAAGAAAAAUGCUUAUUUGGGUCUCUUUUUGGCCCCUAAUUCCUAAACUGUUGGGACCUAAACUCCCAAAAUCAAUACCAACCUUCCUUUUGUAGUCAUUAACAUUGUGUUUAAAUUUCAUUGAUUUCUAUUUACUUAAACUAAAGUUAUUGUGCGAAAACCAAGAAUAAUGCUUAUUUGGGCCCUUUUUUGGCCCCUAAUUCCUAAACUGUUGAAACCAAAACUCCCAAAAUCAAUCCCAACCGUUCUUUUGUGGUCAUAAACCUUGUGUCAAAAUUUCAUAGAUUUCUAUUAACUCAAACUAAAGUUAUAGUGCGAAAACCAAGAAAAUGCUUAUUUGGGCCCUUUUUGGCCCCUAAUUCCUAAAAUGUUGG